This is a long non-coding RNA of Syngnathus acus (greater pipefish), 582 nucleotides long. RefSeq lists it as uncharacterized. Lineage: Eukaryota; Metazoa; Chordata; Actinopteri; Syngnathiformes; Syngnathidae. The transcript has 2 exons. The record is from RefSeq and is a predicted model, not a curated record.
CGGUUGACCCAGGAGAUUUUGCUGAGCGGGUUUGGCGUGUUGAAGACCACCAUGAAGCUGACGGGACGACCGGACCUUCAGGAGAACAACGACAACAAGACGGAUGGAUUGACAAGCAGCCAAAGAGCGAGCUGGCAAACUCGACGUGGGCCAAAACAAGACAAAAAGAGCUCUUGAUGUUUCCGCUGUGAUUUUGCCGCGUCUCGAACUUGAAGACAAACACCUCCACCAAAUGUUGGCCUACCUUUGGCUGCAAAAAGCUCUGCUGUGAGCAGCAGUGCACCGCGGCUGAGGUUGUUUUUCAGGAAAACCGUAAACCAUUAACAGGUUUUUCUUUUCAACUACCGACAUGUACAACGAUUUGUAAUUAAGGAUGGAAUUAUAAUAUUGUUUCUUUUAUAUACCAAUUAGGUGCAAAAACAAAACUCAAACCAAGGUUAAGCAUCUCAGAUUUGCGUAUUGUUUGUUUGCCAGGACAUUACGCCGUCAGGCAGUUUCCGAGUAAUAGCAUGUCCCUUGUUUCAAUUAUUUUGGUGCUUUGAUAAACAUCAAACCAAGUCCGCUUUGUACAGCGAAAAUACA